CCUACGGGUGGCAGCAGUGAGGAAUAUUGGUCAAUGGACGAGAGUCUGAACCAGCCAAGUAGCGUGAAGGAUGACUGCCCUAUGGGUUGUAAAUUUCUUUUAUAAAGGAAUAAAACGAGGCACGUGUGCCUUUUUGCAUGUACUUUAUGAAUAAGGAUCGGCUAACUCCGUGCCAGCAGCCGCGGUAAUACGGAGGAUCCGAGCGUUAUCCGGAUUUAUUGGGUGUAAAGGGAGCGUAGAUGGGUUGUUAAGUCAGUUGUGAAAGUUUGCGGCUCAACCGUAAAAUUGCAAUUGAUACUGGCAGGCUCGAGUGCAGGUGAGGUAGGCGGAAUUCGUGGUGUAGCGGUGGAAUGCUUAGAUAUCGCGAAGAACCCCGAUUGCGAAGGCAGCUUACUAAACUGUGACUGACAUUGAUGCUCGAAAGUGUGGGUAUCAAACAGGAUUAGAUACCCGAGUAGUC
This 460-nucleotide ribosomal RNA is filed under the name uncultured bacterium. RNAcentral's name for it is "partial 16S ribosomal RNA". It matches the Rfam family "Bacterial small subunit ribosomal RNA", at positions 338 to 795 of the family's 1533-position model. The record is from RNAcentral.